CACACACUCUUUUAUGAAUGGUUUAUGAGAAUGAUCCCUGGUUCGAAACCAUUUUGAUUGAAUUAGAAGUGGUCUCGGACCAGGCUUCAUUCCCACCAACGUUCUAGAAGUCAACAUUGAAAGCACAUUAUCACUCAUGUCUUUUCUUGAACAAGAAAUCAAAACAAGAUGACAUUUAUACAGCUGACAUGGCAAUUUUGAUGACGUGGCGGCCAUCAUGGCAAUUUUUAUGACGUGGCGGUUGAUGUGGUAGCUGACAUGACAUUUUUUGAUGACAUGGCAGGUGAUGUGGUUGCUGACAUGGCAUUUUUCGAUGAUGUGGCAUCUGAUAUCAUAUAACUGAGUUAGAGUUCAGUUAGUUUGGGAGUGUCAGAGGAAAAUAAGUUAAAAGUUAUGAGUGAUAUCGGCCAACCGAUGAAAUUAGGGUUUUUUAAAUCCGAUAUCUCAAUUUUAAAUAAAGAAUUAACGAAACUCAUAUAGAUGAGUGUAUCUAUCGCUUUGAAUGUAAUAUACAGGAUGGUUAU
Molecule: long non-coding RNA, 524 nt
Filed under: Helianthus annuus (common sunflower)
Lineage: Eukaryota; Viridiplantae; Streptophyta; Magnoliopsida; Asterales; Asteraceae
Description: sRNA HanXRQr2_Chr13g0614661
Source: RNAcentral